This 617-nucleotide long non-coding RNA is filed under the name Sparus aurata (gilthead seabream). Its description in RNAcentral is "lncRNA (ENSSAUG00010009200.1)". Lineage: Eukaryota; Metazoa; Chordata; Actinopteri; Spariformes; Sparidae. The record is from RNAcentral.
AAAGAGAGACCGGAUACAUGGCGUACGCCUGGUCAGAAAAGCAAACAGACUGCACUAUGUUCUAGAGGCGCACACGAUAACCUUGUUGUCCAGAGUUGGUGACAAAAACCUCAGGGAUUGCACUACAAAGUGCAUGAACAGGUAUGUCUCUGCUGGUUUAGCACUGCAUCAGUCACACUCACCAGGAACUUCUGGCAGGUGGAAAACAUUACCACAGAGCACGCAAAGCCCUACCCACUGAAGACAAAAAUAAUUCCAGGUCUAAUGACCAAGCCCUGAGAAAACCCAAAGAUAUUACACCCAAAACAGCACCACCCUCAGGAUUAGCUAUCACACACACGCACCAAAACAACUGUUGUCCAUAUAAUUUAAUUUGAUGUGUCAUUUGAAACACUGGUAAAUCAAAGGAAUAUACCAAUUUAAAAAUGUCAAACUACAAAUACUGAAAGAUUGAGGACACUUGAUAUUUUAUAAGGUGCAGAAUUUUUGUCAAGUAGACAUCGGAAAUAUGUUGUAGUCCUUAAGUGUGGGUGGUGUCGGGGCCAGCAGAGGGAGUUUAGAUUGAGUGGAACAAAAACACAUUUUAAUGUAAAAGUUAUAGUACACAACUUCCUAUA